UUCACUGUAAGAGAAUCUUUGCUGCCAUAAAAACACAGCUCUCAUGGCUGGUACCAGCUCUGACAAUGCUGAACUAUGCUGCAAAAAACAUUAAUAAUGAUGCAGAAAUAUUUCUGUUGUCUCAUGCUGACAGGUAAUUCAGUUUUCACAAGCGGUAAGCUGAAGGUUGUCUAAAAUGAGAAACAGGUUCCCAGCCCAGGACUGAGAUCUUCAUGUUGGAAAAGAGGAAAAAGCCAGAAGCUAAACACUUGCAAAUCAGUGAUUAACAGAGCAAACCAAGAUCUGACCUGACAAGUGGACAGAAAAGAGAACUUAAUAAAUGUCUGUUUAGCUACAGCACCAACU
Alligator sinensis (Chinese alligator) is the source of this 345-nucleotide long non-coding RNA. RefSeq lists it as uncharacterized. The transcript is spliced from 3 exons. The record is from RefSeq and is a predicted model, not a curated record. Lineage: Eukaryota; Metazoa; Chordata; Crocodylia; Alligatoridae.